CGGAGGGAUCAUUAAAGAGUUCUAUAACUCCCAAACCCAUGUGAACAUACCUAACGUUGCCUCGGCAGGUCGCACCUACCUUGUAGCACCCUACCCUGUAGGGCCUACCCGGGAGGUGCGGGUAAGCCUGCCGGCGGCCCACCAAACUCUGUUUGAUAUUGAAUUCUGAACCUAUAACUAAAUAAGUUAAAACUUUCAACAACGGAUCUCUUGGUUCUGGCAUCGAUGAAGAACGCAGCGAAAUGCGAUAAGUAAUGUGAAUUGCAGAAUUCAGUGAAUCAUCGAAUCUUUGAACGCAUAUUGCGCCCAUUAGUAUUCUAGUGGGCAGGACCGUUCGAGCGUCAUUUCAACCCUUAAGCCUUCGUUGCUUAGUGUUGGGAGCCUACGGCAACGUAGCUCCUCAAAGUUAGUGGCGGAGUUGGUUCACACUCUAGACGUAGUAAUUUUUUAUCUCGCCUAUUAGUUGGACUAAUCCCCUGCCGUAAAACCCCCAAUUUAUCAAGGUUGACCUCGAAUCGGUUCAGACAAACUCGCUAAAUUGAAGCAUCUUAGUCAGCG
RNAcentral lists this ribosomal RNA (558 nucleotides) under fungal endophyte. Its description in RNAcentral is "eukaryotic LSU rRNA". The stretch from base 191 to 344 matches the Rfam family "5.8S ribosomal RNA". Lineage: Eukaryota; Fungi. The record is from RNAcentral.